CAACUUUCAACAACGGAUCUCUUGGCUCUCGCAUCGAUGAAGAACGCAGCGAAAUGCGAUAAGUAAUGUGAAUUGCAGAAUCCAGUGAAUCAUCGAAUCUUUGAACGCACCUUGCACCCUUUGGUAUUCCAAAGGGUAUGCUCAUUUGAGUGUCAUUG
This 158-nucleotide ribosomal RNA is filed under the name uncultured Sebacina. RNAcentral's name for it is "5.8S ribosomal RNA". It matches the Rfam family "5.8S ribosomal RNA". Rfam says of the family: 5.8S ribosomal RNA (5.8S rRNA) is a component of the large subunit of the eukaryotic ribosome. It is transcribed by RNA polymerase I as part of the 45S precursor that also contains 18S and 28S rRNA. The record is from RNAcentral. Lineage: Eukaryota; Fungi; Basidiomycota; Agaricomycetes; Sebacinales; Sebacinaceae.